GCUUGACCAAUUGUCGAAAUAACUUUUAUAUCAAUUAUGGUUUCAGCGAUCUCAAUGCCAGGCAGUUGCGUUAAAAAUAUAACAUAUUCAAAUCGUAGCAAUCGGUGUAAUUCUUAUCAUCCUAACUGAAUAUAAGUUUGCGAGAAGUUGUUCCUAAUUUCAUUAUUAGUGAAGCUCUCACUGUGUUAACACCAAAUAUAUUGAAAUUUUUCAGUGCAAUCGGCGUAAGACCCUCUCAGGAUUUUAAAGGCUGACAGCUACCACCCCACCAUUCGCCGAUAGCAUCCACAAAACCGACGACAAAACCAGGAACCAGGAUCUGAAGGUGUGAUUGUUGAAGUCGAAAAGAUGGGCACCUUUGUAUUCCCGGUUUCUUUUAAAACUUUUGAAAGGAACCUAAACAAACCAGAGGUGUUCGACAGGCUCACUAAAAGCAAAAGGAUUGUUUACAGCUGUUGGGAGAUAGUCAACGUGGUCGUAACAUUUAAAGAAUGUCGCAGACAUUUUCCAUAACAACAAUUCUAUUGUUAGUUUUGACCAGUUUAAGAGGAGCGUGCAGAAUUUAAAAGAAAUUGUGAAAGUUCUGCAACAGUCGGACGAAAAUUAUGCCGGCAGAGAUCUUAAAGAGUGUGCCCAUGACUACUACAUGGCAUUUUACCUCAACCCAGAGAUUCGGCAAAAGUGCAAAUUCCAGUUGCGACCAUGUGCGAUUGAAUUCCAGGACCGCCUACUGGGUUUUCUGAGCAAGAAAACUGCCAAUAAACUGAGGAGAUUUCACUCAACAAAAAGGAAUCAUGAUUUGAUUUCCUGUGAAAGCGAUUCUUCACAAGAUUCAGAAGAUCUUCCUUCUGGCAUUGUAGUUAAAUAAACCCCUGAAUGGGCGGACAAAGAGUUAUAUGAGCUGCAGGCACACUGAUUUGUACUAAGUUAUUAAUAAACAAUAAAUAUUAAAACAAUAUUUCAAGCUGUUGAUUAUUUAGAAAAGCAACAUUCCCGCUUUUUUUUGAGUUUUUUGAAUAAGAU
Molecule: RNA transcript, 1023 nt
Organism: Drosophila ficusphila
Lineage: Eukaryota; Metazoa; Arthropoda; Insecta; Diptera; Drosophilidae
Gene name: protein telomere ends associated-like
Exons: 5
Source: RefSeq, a predicted model, not a curated record